Molecule: long non-coding RNA, 834 nt
Organism: Chiroxiphia lanceolata (lance-tailed manakin)
Lineage: Eukaryota; Metazoa; Chordata; Aves; Passeriformes; Pipridae
Exons: 3
Source: RefSeq, a predicted model, not a curated record
UGUGAUGUCAGCAAAUCCCACAGCCCCUCCAGUGUGAUCCCAAUGUGAUGUCAGCAAACCCCACAGCCCCUCCAGCAGCACUUCCCUCCAGGUGUUCCCGUUAAAGGCAAACACAACAAGUUUUACAUAAAAUCAAGUGCCAGCAUCCCAGUAUUCCUGGUUUCCUAUUUCAUUUCCAACCCACACCGUGACCAAACGUCUCCCCGGACCCCUGAUGUGACAAGGCAGUUUUGAAGGCAGAUAAUCCGGGGUGGGUGAGGCUGCUCCAGCACGCCGGGAAAUCCGCAGCGGAGCUGGCAGAGCUCCACUGGAAGAGCUGAUCAAUACUUUAAAUCCAUAUGGUAUCAAAAAGGCAGAGAAGACUCACACAAAGCCAGUGCAGCCGUUAUUUAGGGCUCCGAUCCCAGCCCAGCCCGGCGUCCCUGCGGAACGUGUGCCCGGCACGGGGGCAGGCGACGCGGCUCCCGACUGCCAUCGUGCCCCCCAGAGCACAAACACGGGGAAAAUAAACCCCAAACCAAACGAAUCAACCCCCCCCCCGGGGUUGGGAACCCGCUGGAACGAUCCCGGAGCUGCCGCAGCCGGCGCUGGCUCCGACCCCGGAGCCGCCGCAGCGAUGCCGGCGUAGGACGGGGAGCUGCAAAUCUCAGCGUUCCCGAUGGAUUCCAGCCUGGAAUGACACGAUGGACUCCAGCCUGGAAUGACACGACGGAUUCCAGCCUGGUGAGGAGUGACACGUGCCAAACGAUCCGCCCGCUGCUCCUCCGGGAUGAAGACCUUUUGUUCCCAAACCAUGAGACAACCAGAAGAUAAAUGAGGUUAACAGGUAAUGAG